RNAcentral lists this non-coding RNA (26 nucleotides) under Mus musculus (house mouse). Lineage: Eukaryota; Metazoa; Chordata; Mammalia; Rodentia; Muridae. The record is from RNAcentral.
UUACAGUUGGUUGUGUGCCACCUGAC